This 497-nucleotide long non-coding RNA is filed under the name Cyanistes caeruleus (blue tit). RNAcentral's name for it is "lncRNA (ENSCCEG00000003157.1)". The record is from RNAcentral. Lineage: Eukaryota; Metazoa; Chordata; Aves; Passeriformes; Paridae.
CUCCUCCUCAUACUUGCAUGGGCUGGGAGAUGGGACUGCCAGGGUUUGCCUCAUGGGGCUGACUGAGCCAUAAGACAGAUUGUGCUGUAAGAAAUAAGAAAUAGGCCUAAAGAAAUGAAUUGAGGUUUCACCAGAGCACUUGUUAAGUGGGUCAUGAAUCAAACACAACAGGAUCUACUGGCCAUCCUUUUUUUUCCUGUGGUUAGAGGCUGCCAUUCAGUCCUUCAGUUACAGAUAUUAAGUGGGAAAUGAUGAGAAGAAAACAGCUGAAGAAAUGUCUGAAGUGUCUUUUUCCAAUGCAGGAUGAAACAUCCCUGCACAGCAAAGCUGGAUGAGAGAAUGCAGCAAGCACACCACAUGUAGUCACAGCUCUGAGGAACUCAUGUCCAUGUAGGAUUGGUGCUAUGUUAGCACAGGAUGAGGUGAGUUCUAGCACCUUUUCACAGGUUUUGAUGCCUGCACAGUCCUAGGUACCUUGUCAUUUGCUUCUGUGCUGG